UUUCCCUACGGGAGGCAGCAGUAGGGAAUCUUCCACAAUGGACGAAAGUCUGAUGGAGCAACGCCGCGUGAGUGAAGAAGGGUUUCGGCUCGUAAAGCUCAGUUGGUAGGGAAGAAAGAUAGAGGUAGUAAACGGCCUUUAUUUGACGGGAAUUACUUAGAAAGUCACGGCUAACUACGUGCCAGCAGCCGCGGUAAUACGUAGGGGGCAAGCGUUGUCCGGAUUUAUUGGG
RNAcentral lists this ribosomal RNA (232 nucleotides) under uncultured bacterium. RNAcentral describes it as "partial 16S ribosomal RNA". It matches the Rfam family "Bacterial small subunit ribosomal RNA", at positions 334 to 558 of the family's 1533-position model. The record is from RNAcentral.